GGCGUGCUUAACACAUGCAAGUCGAACGAUGAAGCCGGGGCUUUUUGUUUUGGUGGAUUAGUGGCGAACGGGUGAGUAAUACGUGAGUAACCUGCCCUUGUCUUUGGGAUAAGCCUGGGAAACUGGGUCUAAUACCGGAUAUUCUGCUUUUGCCGCAUGGUGGGGGUUGGAAAGAUUUUUUGGAUGGGGAUGGGCUCACGGCCUAUCAGCUUGUUGGUGGGGUGAUGGCCUACCAAGGCGUCGACGGGUAGCCGGCCUGAGAGGGUGACCGGCCACAUUGGGACUGAGAUACGGCCCAGACUCCUACGGGAGGCAGCAGUGGGGAAUAUUGCACAAUGGACGCAAGUCUGAUGCAGCGACGCCGCGUGGGGGAUGAAGGCUUUCGGGUUGUAAACUCCUUUCAGUACAGAAGAAGCAUUUUUGUGACGGUAUGUGCAGAAGAAGCGCCGGCUAACUACGUGCCAGCAGCCGCGGUAAU
This 478-nucleotide ribosomal RNA is filed under the name uncultured bacterium. Its description in RNAcentral is "bacterial SSU rRNA". It matches the Rfam family "Bacterial small subunit ribosomal RNA", at positions 41 to 524 of the family's 1533-position model. The record is from RNAcentral.